GCGCCUGCUGCCGCGUCCCGGGCCUGCUGGGCGGCCUGGCGGGCCGCCUUGGCCUGUCCCGCGUCCGAUACGGCGGCGUUCGCCGCGCGGUAGGCGCG
This 98-nucleotide transfer RNA is filed under the name Streptomyces chrestomyceticus JCM 4735. RNAcentral's name for it is "tRNA-Ala". Lineage: Bacteria; Bacillati; Actinomycetota; Actinomycetes; Kitasatosporales; Streptomycetaceae. The record is from RNAcentral.